AGCGAACGCUGGCGGCAGGCUUAACACAUGCAAGUCGAGCGGGCAUCUUCGGAUGUCAGCGGCAGACGGGUGAGUAACACGUGGGAACGUACCCUUCGGUUCGGAACAACUCUGGGAAACUGGAGCUAAUACCGGAUACGCCCUUAUGGGGAAAGGUUUACUGCCGAAGGAUCGGCCCGCGUCUGAUUAGCUAGUUGGUGGGGUAACGGCCUACCAAGGCGACGAUCAGUAGCUGGUCUGAGAGGAUGAUCAGCCACACUGGGACUGAGACACGGCCCAGACUCCUACGGGAGGCAGCAGUGGGGAAUAUUGGACCAUGGGCGCAAGCCUGAUCCAGCCAUGCCGCGUGAGUGAUGAAGGCCUUAGGGUUGUAAAGCUCUUUUGUCCGGGACGAUAAUGACGGUACCGGAAGAAUAAGCCCCGGCUAACUUCGUG
Molecule: ribosomal RNA, 435 nt
Filed under: uncultured bacterium
Lineage: Bacteria
Description: partial 16S ribosomal RNA
Rfam family: Bacterial small subunit ribosomal RNA
Source: RNAcentral